This 460-nucleotide ribosomal RNA is filed under the name uncultured bacterium. Its description in RNAcentral is "partial 16S ribosomal RNA". It matches the Rfam family "Bacterial small subunit ribosomal RNA", at positions 338 to 795 of the family's 1533-position model. The record is from RNAcentral.
CCUACGGGAGGCAGCAGUGAGGAAUAUUGGUCAAUGGGCGCGAGCCUGAACCAGCCAAGUCGCGUGAGGGAAGACGGCCCUACGGGUUGUAAACCUCUUUUGCCGGGGAGCAACGGGCGCCACGUGUGGCGCUACUGAGAGUACCCGGAGAAAAAGCAUCCGCCAACUCCGUCCCAGCAGCCGCGGUAAUACGGAGGAUGCGAGCGUUAUCGGGAUUUAUUGGGUUUACAGGGUGCGUAGGCGGAGCGUUAAGUCAGUGGUCAAAUGGAGAGGCUAAACCCCUUCCCGCCAUUGAAACUGGCGCUCUUGAGUGGAAGAGAAGUAUGCGGAAUGCGUGGUGUAGCGGUGAAAUGCAUAGAUAUCACGCAGAACCCCGAUUGCGAAGGCAGCAUGCCGGCUUCCGACUGACGCUGAGGCACGAAAGCGUGGGGAUCGAACAGGAUUAGAUACCCCAGUAGUC